RNAcentral lists this ribosomal RNA (525 nucleotides) under uncultured bacterium. RNAcentral's name for it is "bacterial SSU rRNA". It matches the Rfam family "Bacterial small subunit ribosomal RNA", at positions 336 to 863 of the family's 1533-position model. The record is from RNAcentral.
CUCCUACGGGAGGCAGCAGUGAGGAAUAUUGGUCAAUGGGCGCAAGCCUGAACCAGCCAUGCCGCGUGCAGGAUGAAGCAUCUAUGGUGUGUAAACUGCUUUUGUACGGGAAGAAACAGCUCUUCGUGAAGAGCCUUGACGGUACCGUAAGAAUAAGGAUCGGCUAACUCCGUGCCAGCAGCCGCGGUAAUACGGAGGAUCCAAGCGUUAUCCGGAAUCAUUGGGUUUAAAGGGUCCGUAGGCGGCCCUGUAAGUCAGUGGUGAAAUCUCCCGGCUCAACCGGGAAAUUGCCAUUGAUACUGCAGGGCUUGAAUUACUGGGAAGUAACUAGAAUAUGUAGUGUAGCGGUGAAAUGCUUAGAGAUUACAUGGAAUACCAAUUGCGAAGGCAGGUUACUACCAGUGGAUUGACGCUGAUGGACGAAAGCGUGGGUAGCGAACAGGAUUAGAUACCCUGGUAGUCCACGCCGUAAACGAUGGAUACUAGCUGUUGGGCGCAAGUUCAGUGGCUAAGCGAAAGUGAUAA